AUACUUCUCUGGCAGGGGAAAUACCAUGAGCAUUAAAGUGGUUUUCCCAGAGCGAGGCUCAUCCACCGCACUCUGGGUGUCCUGACCCCUGCGAUUUCCCCACAUGUAGGAAACCUGCCCGCAUAAUUUGCGGUAGUGGGAGACUGCGUUUGUGCCCUCCCCUU
Pteronotus mesoamericanus is the source of this 164-nucleotide small nuclear RNA. RefSeq annotates it as U1 spliceosomal RNA. Lineage: Eukaryota; Metazoa; Chordata; Mammalia; Chiroptera; Mormoopidae. The transcript has a single exon. The record is from RefSeq and is a predicted model, not a curated record.